UGGCUCAGUGGUAGAGCGCUUGCCUUGCAUGCCAGAGGCCCUGGGUUCAAUUCCUCAG
Dipodomys ordii (Ord's kangaroo rat) is the source of this 58-nucleotide non-coding RNA. The record is from Rfam. Lineage: Eukaryota; Metazoa; Chordata; Mammalia; Rodentia; Heteromyidae.